Molecule: non-coding RNA, 216 nt
Organism: Meleagris gallopavo (turkey)
Lineage: Eukaryota; Metazoa; Chordata; Aves; Galliformes; Phasianidae
Source: RefSeq, a predicted model, not a curated record
UGAGGUUCUGCUCACAUCUCCAUGUUUCCUCUCCAUUUGUUUGUGGCCCAUCUGUGUGAUAAGACAAUGAGAUUUUUGCCUGUAGUUUCUGAGAACUUUUAAAGCUUUUCUCAGUACUCUGAAUUGUCAGCAUGGUCUCUCCCACUGCUUAGUCUUGAGAGUGGUAAAAUAGAGAAGGUCCAGGAAGAGACAAAAAGAGAAAAUGUCAAACAGCCA